This 86-nucleotide transfer RNA is filed under the name Candidatus Roizmanbacteria bacterium CG10_big_fil_rev_8_21_14_0_10_39_6. Its description in RNAcentral is "tRNA-Leu". It matches the Rfam family "tRNA". Rfam says of the family: Transfer RNA (tRNA) molecules are approximately 80 nucleotides in length. Their secondary structure includes four short double-helical elements and three loops (D, anti-codon, and T loops). The record is from RNAcentral. Lineage: Bacteria; Candidatus Roizmaniibacteriota.
GCCAGAGUGCUGGAAUUGGCAGACAGGCACGUUUCAGGAACGUGUGCCCUUUGGGCGUAAGGGUUCGAGUCCCUUCUCUGGCACAA